GGCCGGGCGCGGUGGCUCACGCCUGUAAUCCCAGCUCUCAGGGAGGCAAGAGGCGGGAGGAUAGCUUGAGCCCAGGAGUUCGAGACCUGCCUGGGCAAUAUAGCGAGACCCCGUUCUCCAGAAAAAGGAAAAAAAAAAAAAAAGACAAAAAAAAAAUAAGCGUAACUUCCCUCAAAGCAACAACCCCCCCCCCCCUUU
This 198-nucleotide non-coding RNA is filed under the name Pongo pygmaeus (Bornean orangutan). Lineage: Eukaryota; Metazoa; Chordata; Mammalia; Primates; Hominidae. The record is from RNAcentral.